CAGCCCGGGGAACGGUCCGGGACCUGAGGUGGGGAGGAGGAGAUCCAGGAGUUCAUCACGACAUCACUAGAAACACGAGCGGAGGUGGAGGAAGUGACAGCUGCCGCAGGUGAUCUGUACCUGGAGGGAUGAACAGCGUUCCCCGCACGCCGCCCUCCCGCACGUCGAUCCUCUGGACGCCCGGCGCCACGUACCACCGCUCUGUGAGCGCCGAGGCCAGAGCGGCCCGCUCCCUGAAGCCCUCGUGUCCGUCGUGGACCGAGAUGUGGACCAGCAUCGGGGCGCAGACGUUCAUCUUCCUCAACCUGACGAGUGGGAGAAGAACGGGGAGAUUGGGAAAUCAACAAAACCCAAAGUGUGAAUAGAACUCACCGGACACGGUUCCUCGAUGGUCACUGACGUAGUGUCCGUACGCCUCCCAGUAGUCCUGGUCCUCGGAGCAGUGGAGGGCGUGGAGCGUCACGGGACGUCCCGGAGGCAGAUUCUCCACCGAAAUCUCGAACGUCUCGUCCGUCAGCGCCCGGGUCGGGUGGACGGAGAGGAGCGGGGGGGUGGCGGCCUGCGACAUGGUCGUCUGUGGAGAAACACAAAUGAUUGUCAAAUCAGGAACUGGGAAGACGAAGAAGAGGCGUCAUCUGUUCUCAUUGGCUGCAGCGGCUUUCGGCAAAAAGAAAAGGUUCCACAUGAAAACUUCAUAUCACUACCACCUGCAACGACAGAACGUCGCCAAUUUCUAUGCUGUUGCUUUUUUAAAGUUCCACAUAAUCCAUCUUAAUUAUACUUCCUGUUUACUUGUGCCCCUCACUUAUGAAUCCAGAUGUUCUUUUAAAUAACUUUGUAUGAACUUUGUGGCACCUGCAGAAGACGAGCUGGAGGAUAAUGGCAUGACGGCCCACGCAGGAAGCGGCCCACUCUGAUCUGCUUUGCUCUGAUCAGAUUACGUGGGUGUCUUUCCACUGGACUGUCUGUAGCUAGGCUAUAUAUAUAUACAUAUACAUGUGUAUGUAGGCUGUCAUAAAUAACAACCUGAUUGCUAUUUAUUGAAUCAAUAAACGAGGGUGACAUCAAAGAAAAAAAUUGCCCAUGGUUCUGGCAGCGUUUCCCUUUUAAUAGUUUUCAUAAAACUACUUUCAUAGCAGCAUUUCCCAACAACAAUGAACUAAUCUUUUUGUUCUUAAAAGAAAACUAAUUUUGUACGAAUUGAUGUUGUGCUUUUCAAUAACAGUCAAUCUACAUGAAGUUUGAUGUUUCCGGAGUUACAGUGUUUUUGUGUCCUGGACUGUUUUUACAUGAAACUUACCAGAGAUCAAGUGGCAGCGUCUUAUCAGCUUCUUCAGUCGAUUAUUAAACCUCCUGUUAAAUCUUUCAAAGUUCAGCGUUGGGCUGCUCUGUGAUGUAAUGAGACCCUCUGGUUCUGAUUAUCCUCCUCCUCUUCCUCCUCUUCCUCCUCUUCCUCCUCCUCCUCCUCUGCUGUCAGUCAGUCGGUCGGUCGGUCGGUCGGUCGUUCUCUUCGACCCCUCGACCUCGUCAUUUAAACUCACAGUGACUCACAAAAGGCCUCAAAACACCGUUAACGGGGACUUCUCCCAGAUGUGAGCGUCGUACUCAACAUCAGCCCCGCGUUUCUGCGGCCCUCUCCAAUUUUUUUGGCAUUUUUUAAAUUCCAACUGAAGAGCGUAUCUGUGACGGAGCACCGCUCGUAUUUCUUCAUGUCCCUGGGGCACGUUUUGAUGAAAACUUACAUCACUUGGAAGUGUAAAUAUGACUGAUGUGCACAAAAUUGCUUUUUUUUUAAUAAAGUAUACCGAUAUGGUGCUUCUUGUAUAGAUUGUAUCAACCCAAGUCCUUUGUAAUGUUUCCAUUUUUAGUAAAUCCUAACUAAAGAUCAUCUUACCAUCUUGUUAACAGGAUUUCCUGUAUAUAUCCAUAUGUUUAUAAAAUGCAAACGUCCUACUUUUUUCCCAUAAAGAAAGUAAUUAUUGCAAUUCUGUUGAUGUGUCACUGAUAAGAUAAACUCUGCUGUGGUCGACCCCUCGGCCCUGCAAAAAGGAAACCACUUCCUGAAUGCUCCAUUUUGCACGUACGGGACAUUUGGGAGAUGUUUUUUUGUUUAUGCAUUUGUUCCUUCAACAUAAAAUCUACCUGCUUGAU
Scophthalmus maximus (turbot) is the source of this 2151-nucleotide long non-coding RNA. RefSeq lists it as uncharacterized. The record is from RefSeq and is a predicted model, not a curated record. The transcript is spliced from 3 exons. NCBI's taxonomy places the organism in Eukaryota, Metazoa, Chordata, Actinopteri, Pleuronectiformes, Scophthalmidae.